This 498-nucleotide ribosomal RNA is filed under the name uncultured bacterium. RNAcentral's name for it is "partial 16S ribosomal RNA". It matches the Rfam family "Bacterial small subunit ribosomal RNA", at positions 355 to 848 of the family's 1533-position model. The record is from RNAcentral.
UGAGGAAUAUUGGUCAAUGGGCGCAAGCCUGAACCAGCCAUCCCGCGUGCAGGAUGACGGCCCUACGGGUUGUAAACUGCUUUUAUACAGGAAGAAAAAUCCCGAUGUAUCGGGACUUGCCGGUACUGUAUGAAUAAGCAUCGGCUAACUCCGUGCCAGCAGCCGCGGUAAUACGGAGGAUGCAAGCGUUAUCCGGAUUCAUUGGGUUUAAAGGGUGCGUAGGCGGCUUUUUAAGUCAGUGGUGAAAUCCUGCCGCUUAACGGUAGAAUUGCCAUUGAUACUGAGGAGCUUGAGUUCAGUUGAGGUAAGCGGAAUGUGUAGUGUAGCGGUGAAAUGCUUAGAUAUUACACAGAACACCGAUUGCGAAGGCAGCUUACUAAAACUGACACUGACGCUGAUGCACGAAAAGCGUGGGGAUCGAAACAGGAUUAGAUACCCCUGGUAGUCCACGCCGUAAAACGAUGAUCACUCGCUGUAUGCGAUAUACCGUAUGCGGCC